GUAAGGAAUAUUGGUCAAUGGAGGCAACUCUGAACCAGCCAUGCCGCGUGCAGGAAGACGGCCCUCUGGGUUGUAAACUGCUUUUAUCUGGGAAUAAACCUGCUUACGUGUAAGUAGCUGAAUGUACCAGAAGAAUAAGGAUCGGCUAACUCCGUGCCAGCAGCCGCGGUAAUACGGAGGAUCCAAGCGUUAUCCGGAUUUAUUGGGUUUAAAGGGUGCGUAGGCGGCCUGUUAAGUCAGGGGUGAAAGACGGUGGCUCAACCAUCGCAGUGCCCUUGAUACUGAUGGGCUUGAAUGGACUAGAGGUAGGCGGAAUGAGACAAGUAGCGGUGAAAUGCAUAGAUAUCACGCAGAACUCCGAUUGCGAAGGCAGCUUACUAAGCUACAACUGACACUGAAGCACGAAAGCGUGGGGAUCAAACAGGAUUAGAUACCCUAGUAGUCC
This 445-nucleotide ribosomal RNA is filed under the name uncultured bacterium. RNAcentral's name for it is "partial 16S ribosomal RNA". It matches the Rfam family "Bacterial small subunit ribosomal RNA", at positions 354 to 796 of the family's 1533-position model. The record is from RNAcentral.